RNAcentral lists this ribosomal RNA (206 nucleotides) under uncultured bacterium. RNAcentral describes it as "partial 16S ribosomal RNA". It matches the Rfam family "Bacterial small subunit ribosomal RNA", at positions 568 to 773 of the family's 1533-position model. The record is from RNAcentral.
CGCGUAGGCGGCCACCGCAAGUCAGUUGUGAAAUCUCUGGGCUUAACCCAGAAAGGUCAACUGAUACUGCGGGGCUAGAGUGCAGAAGGGGCAACUGGAAUUCUCGGUGUAGCGGUGAAAUGCGUAGAUAUCGAGAGGAACACCUGCGGCGAAGGCGGGUUGCUGGGCUGACACUGACGCUGAAGCGCGAAAGCUAGGGAGCAACG